Molecule: ribosomal RNA, 253 nt
Filed under: uncultured bacterium
Lineage: Bacteria
Description: partial 16S ribosomal RNA
Rfam family: Bacterial small subunit ribosomal RNA
Source: RNAcentral
UACGGAGGGAGCUAGCGUUGUUCGGAAUUACUGGGCGUAAAGCGCACGUAGGCGGCUAUUCAAGUCAGGUGUGAAAUCCCGGGGCUCAACCCUGGAACUGCACUUGAUACUGCUUUGCUAGAGUACUGGAGAGGAGAUUGGAAUUUACGGUGUAGCAGUGAAAUGCGUAGAUAUCGUAAGGAAGACCAGUGGCGAAGGCGAAUCUCUGGACAGUUACUGACGCUGAGGCACGAAGGCCAGGGGAGCAAACGGG